Molecule: ribosomal RNA, 499 nt
Filed under: Sepioteuthis cf. lessoniana SUM00401
Lineage: Eukaryota; Metazoa; Mollusca; Cephalopoda; Myopsida; Loliginidae
Description: partial 16S ribosomal RNA
Rfam family: Bacterial large subunit ribosomal RNA
Source: RNAcentral
GUCUCCUUGUAAAAGAUAAAUAAGGAGUCGGGCCUGCUCGGUGAAAUUUUAACAGCUGCGGUAUUUUAACUGUACUAAGGUAGCAUAAUAAUUUGCCUUAUAAUUUGAGGCUAGAAUGAAUGGUUUGACGAAGGUUUAUCUGUCUCUAUUUCAUUUUUUAGAAAUUAAUUUUCAAAGUGAAAAAGCUUGAAUUUUUUAAAGGGACGAGAAGACCCUAUUGAGCUUAUAAUUUUAUAUAAUUAUAAUUAUUAAUUAUUAUAAUUAUUUAUAAAUUUUAGUUGGGGUGACUAAGGAAUAAAAAGUAACUUCCUUAAAAUAGAAAUUGUUAAAUGAAGUAACCAAUAUAAUAUUGCUUAUAAUAUAGUUACCAUAGGGAUAACAGCGUAAUUUAUUUAGAGAGUUCAUAUUGAAAAAUAAGAUUGCGACCUCGAUGUUGGAUUAAAGUAACCUUAAGGUGCAGAAGCCUUAGUUGGUAAAUCUGUUCGAUUUUUAAAACUUU